ACCCUGCCGGCAUAAGUAGCGAUAACGGAGGUGGGAACCCUCCGCGCCGAAAGUCUAAGGUUUCCUGAGAAAGGUUAAUCCGCUCAGGGUUAGUCGGUACCUAAGGCGAGGCCGAAAGGCGUAGCUGAUGGACAGCCGGUUAAUAUUCCGGCACUGUGGCGGAGACGUUAUGACGAAGCGGGGACGCAGGAGGAUAGCGGAGUCGAAACCCGCAAGGGCGAUGCGCGCAUCGAGGAGGAUCCGGCAGGCAAAUCCACCGGGUCGGUUCAAAGCCACUCUGAGGUGUGAGCCGAGGGGCCUCGGCCCCAGUAAGUCCGUGACUUCAUGCUGCCAAGAAAAGCCGCUAAGCAGUCUCCGACGCAACCGUACCCCAAACCGACACAGGUAGACGAGGUGAAUAUCCAAAGGCGCUUGAGAGAACACUCGCUCAGGAACUAGGCAAAUUAGCACCGUAACUUCGGGAGAAGGUGUGCCCCGCUAGGGUUCAUAGCCCGAGGGGGCCGCAGUGAAAUGCGCUCUGCGACUGUUUAACAAAAACACAGGUCUCUGCAAAGUCGAAAACGACGUAUAGGGGCUGACGCCUGCCCGGUGCCGGAAGGUUAAAGGGAGAGGUCAUGGGGAGCAAUCCCCGGCAGCUUUGAACUGAAGCCCCGGUGAACGGCGGCCGUAACUAUAACGGUCCUAAGGUAGCGAAAUUCCUUGUCGGGCAAGUUCCGACCUGCACGAAUGGCGCAACGACAGACCGACUGUCGUAGCGAGUGACUCAGCGAACUUGUAGUACCGGUGAAGAUGCCGGUUACCCGCACCUAGACGGAAAGACCCCGUGCACCUUUACUAUACCCUAGCCCUGAGCUACGGGUUUGUCUGCGCAGGAUAGGUGGGAGGCUUUGAACCUGGGUUCUCGGACCCGGGGGAGCCAACGGUGAGAUACCACCCUGAUGAUUCUGUGGCUCUAACUUCGACCCGUAAUCCGGGUCAGGGACACGGCUAGGCGGGUAGUUUGACUGGGGCGGUCGCCUCCUAAAAGGUAACGGAGGCGCCCAAUGGUUGGCUCAGGCUGUUUGGAAAUCAGCCGUCGAGUGCAAGGGCAUAAGCCAGCCUGACUGCGAGACCAACAAGUCGAGCAGAGACGAAAGUCGGGCCUAGUGAUCCGGUGGUUCUGUAUGGAAGGGCCAUCGCUCAACGGAUAAAAGGUACGCCGGGGAUAACAGGCUGAUCGGAGCCAAGAGUUCACAUCGACGCUCCGGUUUGGCACCUCGAUGUCGGCUCAUCGCAUCCUGGAGCUGUAGAAGGUUCCAAGGGUUGGGCUGUUCGCCCAUUAAAGCGGUACGUGAGCUGGGUUCAGAACGUCGCGAGACAGUUCGGUCCCUAUCUGGUGUGGGCGCAGGAGAUUUGAGGGGGGUUGUCCUUAGUACGAGAGGACCGGGAUGAACAGACCUCUUGUGUACCAGCUGUCUAAACCAUGGCACGGCUGGGUAGCGAAGUCUGGAAGUGAUAAACGCUGAAAGCAUCUAAGCGUGAAGCACGCCCCAAGAUCAUAUCUCCCAAGGAUGAAAGGCGGUUUCGCUAACCGUCGAGAUUCCUCUGAAGGGCCGCGGAAGACUACCGCGUAUAUAGGUCGGACGUGGACGCAGGGUAACCUGUGGAGCUUACCGAUCCUAAUGCCCAUUCGGCUUGACC
Molecule: ribosomal RNA, 1680 nt
Filed under: soil metagenome
Description: bacterial LSU rRNA
Rfam family: Bacterial large subunit ribosomal RNA
Source: RNAcentral